This 398-nucleotide long non-coding RNA is filed under the name Linum usitatissimum (flax). RNAcentral's name for it is "long non-coding RNA (LUSI_LNC008081)". Lineage: Eukaryota; Viridiplantae; Streptophyta; Magnoliopsida; Malpighiales; Linaceae. The record is from RNAcentral.
UCUUCUUCUGCAGAAAUCGCAGAAUCAUUCCACCAUUAUAAUCGUCAAAACUUUCAACUUUUUUUAAAUGCCCUUCAAGUCUAAUGUUUAAAUACACACAUGACCUAACUCGAAACAAACGCAUGACCUAACUCAAAACCCUCAUCUCUCUCUUCUCCAUCUCCUUCUCUUACAAGGCCGAACCUCCGUCGUCAUCUGGUAGCUGCCGCCGCUGCCCCAAACCGCCACAGCCGCCAAUUCUGCCGUUGAAAGCUCCGCCGCAACCCUGAUCCAUCGCUGCCUCCCAAUCUCCGCCGCAGCCGCCCAGAGAUCCGUCGCCUCCCCGUACAUGCACCGUCUCCCCUUAGCCGCCGCUUCCGCCUCGGAUCUGCCGCCUACAGGUUAGAGAAUCGCCAAAA